RNAcentral lists this transfer RNA (74 nucleotides) under Ignisphaera aggregans. RNAcentral's name for it is "tRNA-Cys". It matches the Rfam family "tRNA". Rfam says of the family: Transfer RNA (tRNA) molecules are approximately 80 nucleotides in length. Their secondary structure includes four short double-helical elements and three loops (D, anti-codon, and T loops). The record is from RNAcentral. Lineage: Archaea; Thermoproteati; Thermoproteota; Thermoprotei; Desulfurococcales; Desulfurococcaceae.
GGGCCCGUAGUCUAGCUUGGCUAGGAUGCGGGGUACAAUCCCCGUGAUCCCGGGUUCAAAUCCCGGCGGGCCCA